GACCAGAGAGAGAAACCAACUGCAAUUAACUAUCAAGAAUUUGAUCAAACAGCAAAACCUCUUGCGAGAAGGAAGCACCAACAUAAGCAAAGAGAGAGAUCAACUGCAGUUAACUAACAGCGAUAAGACAAGAGAGAGAGACCUCCUCCAAGAAAGAAACUCCAACAUAACCAAAGAGAGAGAUCAACUGCAGUUACUGUAACUAACAGCAAUUUGACAAGAGAGAGAGACCUCCUCCAAGAAAGAAACUCCAACAUAACCAAAGGGAGAGAUCAACUGCAGGUAGCUAACAACAAUUUGAUCAAAGAGCGAGACCUCUUCCAAGAGAGAAACACCAAACUAACCAAAGAAAAUCAUGAGCUGCGUGACGUAAUUAGUAAUUUGACAGCAGAGAAGAAUGAUCUGAUGGAUAAAAACAGAAACUUGACUGCUGAGAAAGAGAAGCUGCUUAACACCUUUCCAAUUCCGCAAGACUGGAUACGUUUUGGUUACAGUUUUUACUACAUUUCAAAUGAUCAGAAAACUUGGAGUGAUGGUAAACAACAAUGCAUGGAUCGAGGGGGGUAUUUGAUGAUUAUUGACAGUGAGGAGGAACAGGAAUUUAUCUCAGGAUUUCGGAAAAGAGGGUGGAUUGGUCUUUCUGAUGUGGAGGGACCAUGGAAAUGGUUAGAUGGUGAAUUGCUGAAAACUGGGUACUGGAUGGAAGGAGAGCCAAAUGGUCUUAACGGAAAUGAGCACUGUGCAGAAAUCAUCGAUAACGCCAAACCCUUGGGAAGAAACUGGAAUGACAACACUUGUACCGCAAGACACAGAUAGUUUUGUUAACGACCACUGUGGCAUCAGUAAAGAUAGGUAGCAUAAACCUCAGAAGUAGGCUACUCUUGUCAUACUAACUUUAUUGUGUACUCUUGUGUUCUGUAUGGUAUGAUUGUGUACUGCACUGAUAAGGAAGAGUUGGUUUCACAUUUUCAGUUAACUAAAUAAGCUUGCUUACAUAAAGCUAGUAAUGUAAAAUUGCCAUUUAAAUAGUCCAUUAAUCCCCAAAAAGUAUUGUGUUUGUGUACAUACAUAUUCUGUGUGUAUUCACUGUCCAUAAAAGCUAAUGUCAUGAGCACAAGGAAGUGAGAUAAAAUGUUUGUACAUUCAAAAACGUCCCUAACUGCUCAGAGUCCCUGAUUACACAUCAUACUGUAAAUCAUUAGUGCACAAGAUCAAUGAUGUUUCGUAAAACACAAAUUAUCACCUACAAAAUAUCAAAGUCCACUUAUUUUUCUUCUUCGUUUAUUAAACUUGUUCAGAAGUAGUCGUGGUAUGUAUCUAAUGUCAAAAUAUGAUUAGAAAAACUCAUGUAGGCCUACAGUAUGCAUUUAUCUCCAGUAGGGUUACUGCAAUCGGCUUUUCACACACCUAUCAAAAGAUCAACAGCUUCAGAUGAUACAAAAUGCAGCAGCUAGGGUUCUCAUGCACUGGCUUCCAGUAUGUCCCAGAAUUGACUUUAAAGCACCACCGCUUGUUUAUGAAUCACUAAGUGGAAUGGGACCUAAAAUUACCUAUCAGACAUGCUUCAGGAGUAGGCCUAAACACGUUCCAGACCUCUCAGCUCUCAGGAGGAAAACUUGUCAGUAAAACCCGCUAUUAGAACGAGACAUGGUGAAGCACCUUUAUAGCUGCUUUGCGGUUUAGCUCUGCAACCAACUUAAGGCCCCAACUGUAGCCAGUUUUAUCUUAAGACCAAACUGUUCUCAGACGUCUUCUGCUAACUGAUCAAAUGCACUUCCUGUUAUCUGUCUUUUUAGUAUUCUACCUUGUGCCUUUUAUAUUUUCUGUUUUUUAAUUGAACUUACUUUAAUUAUAAACUAUUUGAACUAUUUAUCUUUUAUGGUUUCAUAUUCUAUUACUCUUUGCCUUUGUUUAUGUAAAGCACAUUGUGUAUAAA
This is a long non-coding RNA of Sardina pilchardus (European sardine), 1936 nucleotides long. RefSeq lists it as uncharacterized. The record is from RefSeq and is a predicted model, not a curated record. The transcript has 4 exons. Lineage: Eukaryota; Metazoa; Chordata; Actinopteri; Clupeiformes; Clupeidae.